UUUAAAGUGGCCCUCCGAGAGAACUUUUGGCCACAAACUGAGCAUGAAAAAGGUUUCUCACCAGUGUGGAUUCUUGUGUGCCUAUUUAAACUUACCCUAUGACAGAAUUUCUGGCCACAAACUGAGCAUGAAAAAGGUUUCUCGCCAGUGUGGGUUAAUGUGUGCGAAUUUAAAUUGCCCCUAUCAGAG
Syngnathus acus (greater pipefish) is the source of this 189-nucleotide long non-coding RNA. RefSeq lists it as uncharacterized. The transcript is spliced from 3 exons. Lineage: Eukaryota; Metazoa; Chordata; Actinopteri; Syngnathiformes; Syngnathidae. The record is from RefSeq and is a predicted model, not a curated record.